AGCGGAGGAAAAGAAACCAACAGGGAUUGCCCUAGUAACGGCGAGUGAAGCGGCAACAGCUCAAAUUUGAAAUCUGGCGCAAGCCCGAGUUGUAAUUUGUAGAGGAUGCUUCUAGGUAGCGACCGGUCUAAGUUCCUUGGAACAGGACGUCAUAGAGGGUGAGAAUCCCGUAUGUGACUGGCCCGCACCUUCUACGUAGCUCCUUCGACGAGUCGAGUUGUUUGGGAAUGCAGCUCUAAAUGGGAGGUAAAUUUCUUCUAAAGCUAAAUACCGGCCAGAGACCGAUAGCGCACAAGUAGAGUGAUCGAAAGAUGAAAAGCACUUUGGAAAGAGAGUUAAAAAGCACGUGAAAUUGUUGAAAGGGAAGCGCUCACAACCAGACUUCUGGGCGGUGUUCCGCCGGUCUUCUGACCGGUCUACUCACCGUCCCGAGGCCAACAUCAUCUGGGACCGCCGGAUAAGACCUCAGGAAUGUAGCUCCCCUCGGGGAGUGUUAUAGCCUGUGGUGAUGCGGCGCGUCUCGGGUGAGGUCCGCGCUUCGGCAAGGAUGUUGGCGUAAUGGUUGUCAGCGGCCCGUCUUG
RNAcentral lists this ribosomal RNA (581 nucleotides) under Ramularia nyssicola. RNAcentral describes it as "eukaryotic LSU rRNA". It matches the Rfam family "Eukaryotic large subunit ribosomal RNA", at positions 49 to 656 of the family's 3401-position model. The record is from RNAcentral. Lineage: Eukaryota; Fungi; Ascomycota; Dothideomycetes; Mycosphaerellales; Mycosphaerellaceae.